This is a non-coding RNA of Chelonoidis abingdonii (Abingdon island giant tortoise), 328 nucleotides long. Lineage: Eukaryota; Metazoa; Chordata; Testudines; Testudinidae. The record is from RefSeq and is a predicted model, not a curated record.
UUCAUGCCAUGCUAGGAGGUGCAGCCACCACUACCCCAACCCUGUGCUUUGACUCUGUCAAAGGAGUAGCAUGCAACAGGGAUGCAGGUUUUGGAGAUGAGGAAGAUGAGGAGGAAGAGGUUGAAGACAGCUCACAGCAAGCAAGCAGAGACACCGUUUUCCCUGACAGCCAGGAACUGUUUCUCACCCUGGACCUGGAGUCAGUAGCCCCCUGAACCCACUCAAGGCUGCCUCCUGGACCCGCCAGGGGGAGAAAGGACCUCUGCUGCAAAUCUUUCAACACUCACACUAUCUUCACCUUCUCAGAGGCUAGUGAAGAUAAGAAGGC